UCCGAGUUGACCCCGGCAGUCUCCCAUGAGUCCCCAACCCCUCCGAAGAGAGUUGCUGGCAACAUGGAACGAGGGUUGCGCUCGUUGCGGGACUUAACCCAACAUCUCACGACACGAGCUGACGACAGCCAUGCACCACCUGUACACCGACAAAAAGGGGCACCAUCUCUGGCGCUUUCCGGCGUAUGUCAAACCCAGGUAAGGUGGGGAUGACGUGUCG
Molecule: unclassified non-coding RNA, 220 nt
Filed under: uncultured Nocardioidaceae bacterium
Lineage: Bacteria; Bacillati; Actinomycetota; Actinomycetes; Propionibacteriales; Nocardioidaceae
Description: contains 16S-23S intergenic spacer region
Source: RNAcentral